GGAUUGUGGCUCAGUGGUAGAUCUCACGACUGGCACAUGUGAGGCACUGGGUUCGAUCCUCAGCACCA
RNAcentral lists this transfer RNA (68 nucleotides) under Marmota monax (woodchuck). RNAcentral's name for it is "tRNA.Ala". Lineage: Eukaryota; Metazoa; Chordata; Mammalia; Rodentia; Sciuridae. The record is from RNAcentral.